UGGUCGUACAAGAAGAACAGGGGGCGAUCCCCACACAUCAAAACCCUAAAUCUUCACCAAACUUGCAAAUUGAAGGCUCAAUCCAAGUCAAAAUCGAAAAUCAAGCAUAGAUUAUUGAUCCCCAUUGCAAGAGGGUUGUAAGGUAUGUAAAAUUUGAUGUUAAUUCUCUGUUUGAAAUUCUCAUGAAAUUGGGAAAUCUGAAAUUUGAUGAUGCAUGUAUGAUAUGUAGAUGAAAUAGGAACAUAGUAGUGUCUAGGAGUAAACCCUAGACAAGUAUAUGUUGAAAUCAUGCUUAGCUCAAGUCUUUGUUGAUACCAAAUUCAUGUAUGAGAUGUUUUUAGGGUUUUGAUUUCAAAAGAAUAGUGUUAUGAUGUCAAGAACAAGCUUAAACUGAAAGCUGAAUUCAAACGAUUCUUGAUCAGAAUUUACAGCCGAUAUGUAUUGGCUGUAACCUGGAUAAAACCUGAUAAAAUCAUGUGUUUCUUGAGUCUAAAAUGUAAUUCCAGGAAAUAUCUUUAAAACCCCACUGGAAUCGCAUUUUUUCGAUGAAAAUUGAGCGUUUUAUGAAUUUUUCCGUAUCAAAGGUUCAAGCUGCGUUUUCUGGCAGAAUUUGCAGCCCAUUACGAAUGUCAUAACUCAAUUUAGGAAUUGAGUUAUGAUCUCAAAUUUGUACUGUAGAAAGUGCUAAGUGAUUAGAAAAAUCACCAAUUGGAAUUUCGUCAAUCGGAUAAAUGAGGAAUUUUAAAUGAAUUUUUCCGUAAGCUGCAGUCAGAAGUGACGAAUCUGAUUGCAGGUUAGUAAAUGAAUUUUCACGAAUUUUUGAUAAAGAGUUAGAUCUUGAAAUUUUAACUCAAGGGCUAACCCUUCGAGAGGUACACCACAUAAAAAAAUCAUAAUUUUUGAGGACUUGUAAACAGGUUAAACAAGUCACCAAAAACAGCCAAUUUUCAUUGAUAUGAAAUGCCUAAAUGAAAUCGCGGCUUACUAGUUAGUAUGUAAAAAAUUGAUUUUUUGUUAAGAGUUCGGAUGAAAUAUGCCUAAGUGAGUUCAAAGAACCAAAUGUGCAUAUGAAUAUGUUGGUAAGUCAAUUGACUUUUAAAAGUCAAACUAACCAAUGAUAAAGUCAAAUAGUAGUUUCGACAUAGAAAAUACGUGAGGUGGAAUAGUCGUGAAUUGAAAUGACUAAUCUAACCACCUUGUGAAUGAUGAUAGUUUGUCGCCUAACGAGCUAGGUGGAGGCUUGGGAUAGAAGCAGUCAAACGAAUCAAGCACGAGAAGAAAAGCAUAUUCGGAUGCGAGGAAAUAACAUAAGUAUGCGUUGCUUAAACUAGAAAGCUUUAAAGCAAAAGUUAUGUAAACGGGUCAAUACCUUGACCCGAGCCAGGUACACUUUGGGAUGCCGGAAGACGAUCAAGCUCAACGAAGAACCGAACACACUAUAGAUACACGCUUCCGCACUUUGCUAUGUUGUAAAUUUUAAACAACGAAUUCAACCACGUGAUGUAGAAUAACUUAUGAUUUGUAAAAGUUUUUAGUA
Molecule: long non-coding RNA, 1537 nt
Filed under: Helianthus annuus (common sunflower)
Lineage: Eukaryota; Viridiplantae; Streptophyta; Magnoliopsida; Asterales; Asteraceae
Description: hypothetical non coding rna
Source: RNAcentral